RNAcentral lists this ribosomal RNA (253 nucleotides) under uncultured microorganism. RNAcentral's name for it is "partial 16S ribosomal RNA". It matches the Rfam family "Bacterial small subunit ribosomal RNA", at positions 524 to 776 of the family's 1533-position model. The record is from RNAcentral.
UACGUAGGGUGCGAGCGUUAAUCGGAUUUACUGGGCGUAAAGAGCUCGUAGGCGGUUUGUCGCGUCUGCCGUGAAAGUCCGGGGCUCAACUCCGGAUCUGCGGUGGGUACGGGCAGACUAGAGUGAUGUAGGGGAGACUGGAAUUCCUGGUGUAGCGGUGAAAUGCGCAGAUAUCAGGAGGAACACCGAUGGCGAAGGCAGGUCUCUGGGCAUUAACUGACGCUGAGGAGCGAAAGCAUGGGGAGCAAACAGG